AUUGAACGCUGGCGGCAUGCCUAACACAUGCAAGUCGAACGGUAGCAGGCCCGCAAGGGUGCUGACGAGUGGCGGACGGGUGAGUAAUACAUAGGAAUCUGCCUGAUAGUGGGGGAUAACUUAGGGAAACUUAAGCUAAUACCGCAUAAGCCCUACGGGGGAAAGCAGGGGAUCGCAAGACCUUGCGCUAACAGAUGAGCCUAUGUCGGAUUAGCUAGUUGGUAGGGUAAAGGCCUACCAAGGCGACGAUCCGUAACUGGUUUGAGAGAACGACCAGUCACACUGGGACUGAGACACGGCCCAGACUCCUACGGGAGGCAGCAGUGGGGAAUAUUGGACAAUGGGGGCAACCCUGAUCCAGCAAUGCCGCGUGUGUGAAGAAGGCCUUCGGGUUGUAAAGCACUUUCGGUGGGGACGAAAAGCUUAAGGCUAAUAUCCUUGAGUAUUGACUUAACCCAAAGAAGAAGCACCCGGCUAACUCUGUGCCCAGCAGCCGCCGGUAAUACAGAGGGUGCGAGCGUUAAUCGGAAUUACUGGGCGUAAAGCGCGCGUAGGCGGUUUGGUAAGUUGGAUGUGAAAUCCCCGGGCUCAACCUGGGAACUGCAUUCAAUACUGCCUCACUAGAGUAUGGUAGAGGGAAGCGGAAUUCCACAUGUAGCGGUGAAAUGCGUAGAUAUGUGGAGGAACAUCAAUGGCGAAGGCAGCUUCCUGGACCAAUACUGACGCUGAGGCGCGAAAGCGUGGGUAGCAAACAGGAUUAGAUACCCUGGUAGUCCACGCCCUAAACGAUGAGAACUAGAUGUUGGGAAGUAUAUCUUCUUAGUGUCGCAGCUAACGCGUUAAGUUCUCCGCCUGGGGAGUACGGCCGCAAGGUUG
RNAcentral lists this ribosomal RNA (876 nucleotides) under uncultured bacterium. RNAcentral's name for it is "bacterial SSU rRNA". It matches the Rfam family "Bacterial small subunit ribosomal RNA", at positions 28 to 896 of the family's 1533-position model. The record is from RNAcentral.